Molecule: small RNA, 103 nt
Filed under: Pseudoalteromonas piratica
Lineage: Bacteria; Pseudomonadati; Pseudomonadota; Gammaproteobacteria; Alteromonadales; Pseudoalteromonadaceae
Source: RNAcentral
CUUCUCCCUAUGAAUGAUAAAGUUUUUAAGUUAGCGCACGGCUCAUCAAAUGAGCCAUUCCCCUAAGCCCAGGACAAUGUGGAUUGGUCCUGGGCAAUUUUUA